RNAcentral lists this small nucleolar RNA (138 nucleotides) under Ornithorhynchus anatinus (platypus). The record is from RNAcentral. Lineage: Eukaryota; Metazoa; Chordata; Mammalia; Monotremata; Ornithorhynchidae.
CCUCUCUCAAGGUCGCACCUGGAGAGUUUCCGGUACUCUACCAGUUUCGGCUAUAGCAGGGAGAGUCGAGCAGAGGCCUACCCAUUCCAUUCCUAGCUUGGGCAGUGGCUAGCGAGUGGAAGACAAUCUGCUACAAGU